This 468-nucleotide ribosomal RNA is filed under the name uncultured bacterium. RNAcentral's name for it is "partial 16S ribosomal RNA". It matches the Rfam family "Bacterial small subunit ribosomal RNA", at positions 28 to 507 of the family's 1533-position model. The record is from RNAcentral.
GACGAACGCUGGCGGCGUGCUUAACACAUGCCAGUCGAACGGAAAGGCCCUGCUUUUGUGGGGUGCUCGAGUGGCGAACGGGUGAGUAACACGUGAGUAACCUGCCCUUGACUUUGGGAUAACUUCAGGAAACUGGGGCUAAUACCGGAUAGGAGCUCCUGCUGCAUGGUGGGGGUUGGAAAGUUUCGGCGGUUGGGGAUGGACUCGCGGCUUAUCAGCUUGUUGGUGGGGUAGUGGCUUACCAAGGCUUUGACGGGUAGCCGGCCUGAGAGGGUGACCGGCCACAUUGGGACUGAGAUAAGGCCCAGAAUCCUACGGGAGGCAGCAGUGGGGAAUAUUGCACAAUGGGCGGAAGCCUGAUGCAGCAACGCCGCGUGCGGGAUGACGGCCUUCGGGUUGUAAACCGCUUUCGCCUGUGACGAAGCGUGAGUGACGGUAAUGGGUAAAGAAGCACCGGCUAACUACGUG